RNAcentral lists this non-coding RNA (30 nucleotides) under Mus musculus (house mouse). The record is from RNAcentral. Lineage: Eukaryota; Metazoa; Chordata; Mammalia; Rodentia; Muridae.
UGAACAGUUUCUGUGCCAGGAACACGAGGU